RNAcentral lists this ribosomal RNA (682 nucleotides) under Salmonella enterica. RNAcentral's name for it is "partial 23S ribosomal RNA". It matches the Rfam family "Bacterial large subunit ribosomal RNA", at positions 2261 to 2925 of the family's 2925-position model. Lineage: Bacteria; Pseudomonadati; Pseudomonadota; Gammaproteobacteria; Enterobacterales; Enterobacteriaceae. The record is from RNAcentral.
GUGGGUAGUUUGACUGGGGCGGUCUCCUCCUAAAGAGUAACGGAGGAGCACGAAGGUUGGCUAAUCCUGGUCGGACAUCAGGAGGUUAGUGCAAUGGCAUAAGCCAGCUUGACUGCGAGCGUGACGGCGCGAGCAGGUGCGAAAGCAGGUCAUAGUGAUCCGGUGGUUCUGAAUGGAAGGGCCAUCGCUCAACGGAUAAAAGGUACUCCGGGGAUAACAGGCUGAUACCGCCCAAGAGUUCAUAUCGACGGCGGUGUUUGGCACCUCGAUGUCGGCUCAUCACAUCCUGGGGCUGAAGUAGGUCCCAAGGGUAUGGCUGUUCGCCAUUUAAAGUGGUACGCGAGCUGGGUUUAGAACGUCGUGAGACAGUUCGGUCCCUAUCUGCCGUGGGCGCUGGAGAACUGAGGGGGGCUGCUCCUAGUACGAGAGGACCGGAGUGGACGCAUCACUGGUGUUCGGGUUGUCAUGCCAAUGGCACUGCCCGGUAGCUAAAUGCGGAAGAGAUAAGUGCUGAAAGCAUCUAAGCACGAAACUUGCCCCGAGAUGAGUUCUCCCUGAGACUACGAGUCUCCUGAAGGAACGUUGAAGACGACGACGUUGAUAGGCCGGGUGUGUAAGCGCAGCGAUGCGUUGAGCUAACCGGUACUAAUGAACCGUGAGGCUUAACCUUACAACGCCGAAG